CCCAAAAUGACACUUGGAGAUACCCAAAAUGACACUUGGAGAUGCCCAAAGGUACACUUGGAGAUGCCCAAAGUGACACUUGGAGAUGCCCAACGGGACACUUGGAGAUGCCCAAAGUGACACUUGGAGAUGCCCAAGGGGACACUUGGAGAUGACCAAAGGGACAAUUGGAGAUGCCCAAAAUAACACUUGGAGAUACCCAAAGGGACACUUGGAGAUGCCCAAAGUGACACUUGGAGAUGUGCAAAAGGACUCUUGAAGAUGCUGAAAGGGACACUUGGAGAUGCACAAAGGGCCACUUGGAGUUGUCCAAAUGGACACUUGGAGAUGCCCAAAUAGACACUUGGAAAUGUCCAAAUGGACACUUGGAGAUGCCCAAAGGGACACUUGGAAAUGUCCAAAAGGACUCUUGAAGAUGCUGAAAGGGAGUUGUCCAAAUGGAUACUUGGAGAUGCCCAAAGUGACAUUUGGAGAUGCCCAAAAGGACACUUGGAGAUGCCCUAAAGGACACUUGGAGAUGCCCAAAAUGACACUUGGAGAUGCCCAAGGGGACACUUGGAGAUGCCCAAAAGGACGCUUGGAGAUGCCCAAAGUAACACUUGGAGAUGCCCAAGGGAACACUUGGAGAUACCCAAAGUGACACUUGCAGAUGCCCAAAAUGACACUUGGAGAUGCCCAACGGGACACUUAAAGAUGCCCAAAGUGACACUUGGAGAUGCCCAAAAUGACACUUGGAGAUGCCCAAAAUGACACUUGAAGAUGCCCAAGGGGACACUUGGAGAUGCCCAAAAUGACACUUGGAGAUGCCCAAGGGGACACUUGGAGAUGCCCAAAGGGACAUUUGGAGAUGCCCAAAAUAACACUUGGAGAUGCCCAAAAGGACACUUGGAGAUGCCCAAAAUAACACUUGGAGAUGCCCAAAGUGACACUUGGAGAUGACCAAAGUGACACUUGAAGAUGCCCAAAGGGCCACUUGGAGAUGUGCAAAAGGACACUUGGAGAUGCCCAAAGUGACACUUGGAGAUGCCCAAAGUGACACUUGGAGAUUCCCAAAGGGCCACUUGGAGAUGUGCAAAAGGACACUUGGAGAUGUCCAAAAGGACUCUUGGAGAUGCCCUAAAGAACACUUGGAGAUGUCCAAAGGGACACUUGGAGAUGUCCAAAUGGACACUUGUAGGUAAAGGAUGUAGUCUCGGUAAACAGUGACAUUUAAAUAUUCAAGCUGUUAAAUCCAAUAAUGAAAUCAGAUAGUAUGUUUGUGUUUAUAAAUCGGAGGUAGGAUUGGAAUGUGUUUUGUGUGAGAAAGUUUAUACAGGGCUGUUUCUGCGUGGAGAAACUUCAUAUCUAUUCUGUACUUCCUUUAGAUAAAUGUCACGGGUGAAACUAAAUAUUGUGGUGCUGACUGAACUGGAAGUCGAGUGAACCGAGCGGCUGCUGGUUGAAUCACUGACCGGGAAGGUGGAUCGGUGAGGCUAUACAGUCUGGGGCAAGGGUAAGGAUUCCACUCGACCUUCCACAAAGUUAAGUAUCAGCGCUGUAAUCCGGUUCUGUACAAGUUGCUUUCUGUUUAUUUGAGCGUAUGCCCUGUGUCUGUCGCAGCGCUCUGGAAACCACGUGGACCUGCAGGCGAGUGUGAGAACGUGAGAGACUCUAUUGUUAUGGCGUUGUCUGCUCCUAAAGAGGCGUGCUGAGGAGAAUGAAGUGUGAGAACGCUCACGCUUCCCUUAGUUAAAAACGGUCAAAUGGAGAAACAAGGUUUGAAUAUAAGUCAUUUAUGCACGAAGUGGAGUUACACUUAAACAAAAGUGAAAAAUAAAUAAAUAAGCAUCUAUUAACAGUACAGAGCGCGUGAGUCAGUGGUGUAUUUAAUUGAAACUAGCAGCAUUGUUCUCCUGUUAUAACUGUCCAAGUUGACACGGUUCAGAUUCAUUCAUCAGAUUCAUUUAAAUAUCUAAAGUAUGUUAUAAAUAGUUAAUUGAAAUUUAUAAUGCGUUUUUACUCCCGGGAUGUGCUUUUAUCCACGGCAGACGUUUUUACGCACGGUACGCACUUUUACGCAGCGGAUGCGUUUUUACGCACGGAAUGCGUUUUUACGCACGGAAUGCGUUUUUACGCACGGAAUGCGUUUUUUUCGCACGGGAUGCGCUUUUACGCACGGGAUGCGCUUUUACGCACGGGAUGCGUUUUUACGCACAGAAUGUCCCAUUACGUGACUGGUGCAGUUUUUAUGCAUCUGUUGUAGAUUUAAAUUUCGGUAAUAAAUUAUCUUUCCAUCUCUUUGUGCGGUAACACACUAGAUAACUAGUGUGUUAAAAUUGGUAACACAAUAAAGUGUUUUAAUUAAAGUCUGAAAAAUGGAAAUGUCUACCAGUAAUGUUUUAAUUCACUAUGAUUUUAAAAUUGUGUUUCAUCUACUGAUAUAUUGUGUAUUGUUCCUCACACAAACAUGAUUUGAAUCAGAAGGAAAUCUUCACCACUGUAAAUGGAAGGAUAUAUUUUUCUAAAUAUUCACUAAAUUCUGGAAGGACGUUUACUCAGUCAAUCAGGAAACAGAAGCUGAGUUAUUCCACAGAACAAUAAUCCGACAAACACCUCAAAAUACAGCAUAUUUUA
Astyanax mexicanus (Mexican tetra) is the source of this 2613-nucleotide long non-coding RNA. RefSeq lists it as uncharacterized. The record is from RefSeq and is a predicted model, not a curated record. The transcript has 3 exons. NCBI's taxonomy places the organism in Eukaryota, Metazoa, Chordata, Actinopteri, Characiformes, Acestrorhamphidae.